RNAcentral lists this long non-coding RNA (278 nucleotides) under Homo sapiens (human). RNAcentral's name for it is "HSALNT0092224". The record is from RNAcentral. Lineage: Eukaryota; Metazoa; Chordata; Mammalia; Primates; Hominidae.
CAAACCUUGGCUCAAGGAACUUAAAAUAGACUGUGAUAAUUAUUUGUCUGUAUAUCUAUCCAUCCAUCCAUUUGAUUUAUAUGACCAAGUUUGCUAAUUAACUAAUUGUAGCAUUCCAGUGGACAUAUAUGUCAUCACAGAGGAAGUUAAUGAUUAAUUUUAGUCUAUUGAUAGAAAACAUUUAUUUUCAGAUGUUGUUCAGUAGGAAGCUCAGUACUGUGAUCCCUAGGAGAAGGGAAACAAACAACUUGAAUUUUCUUUGAGAAGGGAAGAGUGAA